This is an RNA transcript of Prinia subflava (tawny-flanked prinia), 3375 nucleotides long. It is a transcript of the gene named proteasome assembly chaperone 4, with no coding region annotated. NCBI's taxonomy places the organism in Eukaryota, Metazoa, Chordata, Aves, Passeriformes, Cisticolidae. The record is from RefSeq and is a predicted model, not a curated record. The transcript has 4 exons.
GGCUGUGUCUUUGGGAUGGGAAGGGAACGGUGCGAAACGGAGCGGGUGCGCACCGACCGGGGCAGCGCAAGUUCAGGAGGCAGGGGCGCGGAGGAGGCGCGCUCCCGGGGGUGUACCCGUGUUCGUGCUGGGGGCGCUGUGCACGGACGGAGGGGAGCCCGGGGAGGGGCGGGCACGGAGCGGGCUGCGGGCGCCGCUGUGCUCGUCCGUGUGCGUGUCCGGCUGUUCCCUGCGGAGCGGGAAGCGCGCACCCCCGGGCGCCGGACGGGGCGGUGCCUCCCGGAGGAGCGAGCGCCGCCUCCCGGGCCGCGGGGCGGGCCGCGCUCGGCCUCCCGCUCGGGCCUUGCGUGCUCGGGCCCGGCCGCGCCUGGAGAGGCGGCGAUGGAGGCGGCGGGCGGCGGAGCGGCGGGCGGCAUCGCCCUGCACGACUUCAGCGGGCAGCUGGGCGAGCAGCGGGUGCACUUCCACGCCAUGCGCCUGCGGGACUCGCUCUUCCUCUGGGUGGGCGCCGCCCCCGCCCUCGCCAGCCUGGCCGUCGCCAUGUGCAGCCCCCGUGACAGCAUCCCGGUGGCCGCCUCGCUCCUGGGGGACCCCUCGGACACCGCCUCCUCCUGCCUGGCGCAGCGCUUGGCCAGCAAGACCAAAAAGCAGAUAUUUGUCAGCUACAAUCUUCAAAACACAGACAGCAAUUUCACCUUACUCAUAGAGAACAGGAUCAAAGAAGAAAUGACAGCUUUUCCAGAGAAGUUCUGAUUGUGCAUCAUUGUAAAAGAAGAUGAAGAUUUGGUUUCAGAAAAACUGAUUGCAAUUUUCUCACUGACAUUAAAAUUUGAAUUUUCAAAGCAAUUUUUUUUGCUACCCUGCCAAGUAGGAUAUCAAAUGGAUGGUGCAAUGGAUGAACAUCAUUGAAAAAGUGCAUGUGAUAUCUGGCUUCCACACAGUACUGGGAUCUGAUGGCAAAUCCAAAUGCUAUCUGCACAAUUAAUCUACUGUGUACUAGCACUGAACAUAGUAGCAGCUUUUAGUGUUCAAAUAAAGAAACCCCACAUUUUUGUAUGGUAAAGCUGUGACAUGAGUGGUACUUUUAGCCCCUCUUGGUUGUAGUACUGGUGCUAAACAAUGGAUUUCUUCCAUUCCUUGGACACUAAGAACACUAGAAUGGAUUUCACAAAGGGUUAUUUUUGCAUCCCUGAGGUCUACAUAGAAGGAAAAAGCACAAGCCGAGUUCUGGAGCAAUAGAUAAAUCUGUCAGGCUGGUAGAAGAGCAUCACAAUGUAAAUUGAGCAUACACAUAAAAUCAGAGAGGUCUACUACCAUGACCACCAGUGAAAAGCAUCCUGCUGCUACAUCUCUGGACUUGCCUUCAGGUAGGGUAUCCUUUCAGAGGCAGAUCCAGGGACUGUUUUGUCUAACGAGAUGGCAGCUAGGAGUUAACUUUCCAGGUUUUCCAGAUUUUGGUGGGUUUUGUUGAUUUGGGUUGGUUCUUUUUGGUUUUUUUUUUCAUUCCUAGUUGAGCCCUGACUUGAGCUUAAUCAUCAGCUUCUGAUACAAACCAAAAUUAAACUACCAGUGCUGCUUCUAGACAACUGUCCUAAGCACCUACAGAAAAGUGAUGAAUUUACCUUGCUGUGGUGCCACAGCAAUUAAAAACUGUAACUGAGAGGCUGCUGGUGUAGAAGGCACAGCUGCUGAGUCUCUAGUCCAAAAGGGUUUGAACACCCAGAAGCUUCCAUGUCUCAGAUCUGGUGUGGGUGCAGAGGGCCCCUCCUUACCUGGUGGGAACAGCUGUCCUUGGCCGCAGUUCAAGAUCAGAAUAGCAAAAAGCAACUGUUGAAGGGUAUUUUCUUUAUAAUUUACACUACCCAGGAAACAGUCAACUGUGCUUCUGCAAUUGACUAUAAAAGACAAUUAGAGCUGCAAAUCAAUGUGCUGUUUUCAUUAGCCUGAUUUCCAAACAGCUCAUUCUGUAGAGCAGGGUAGGGCUAUUUGCUGAGGCAUCAGCUGCUGCUGGAUGUUUGAGAAGUCCCUGCAAGGGAACCAGACCAAGGAGAGCAAACUGAUGGGACAACGUCAUUUUAUUCUGUACAUUUACAUACAAAGUUCUCAGUAGGUAGAACAGAUGUAACAUCAUGCAGACAUUUAGCUUGUAAGACUGUUUUCAGUACUUGAUUUAAGCUUGUGCUAUGAGGAAGCACCACCAGACUAUUCAUGAUCAAAACAUACAGUAACACGAUUCUUUAAAACUUCAUCAGAAACUGAAAUGGGGAGGGAGAUCUCGCCCACUAGACAAAACACACCAUAAUCCUUUCCCAAAACAUUUUACACAAUACAUUUAAAAUGAGGUUUGUAAUUUCAUUUUUUUCUUAAAAAAUAAAAUUAAAAAAAAGUUUCAGUGGAGAGAUCAUCCCCCCACUCAAUAGUGUUGUCUUAUGUGCCAGCUACAGGCGCAACUUGAUUUGACAUUCACAGAGUUCAGUUAAUGGCACUUCUGCUUCCAAUUUGGUGACCAAUAAAGUGUGUGGCUCCAGGAAGUGGCAAUAGUAAAAGUAAAAAUAGUAAGUAAAAUACUUCCACUAAAAAGAACGACAACAAAAAAAGCCUGCUCAGUGAAACCCAAAAGUAAACCCCACAACCCGCUUUCAGAGUGGCCACAAAACACUUGCAAACAGGUGACUGUCAUUAUCCGUUUGCAGUGUGUCUGGCAACAAAAGUGUACUGAAACCUUAAAACGGGGACAAAACCCCCAAGAUCAAGCAUAAUGUCACUUCACAUUUUUGUUUGAACUUGCAAAGAUGGAGAAAGCCCUUAAAUGGUAAACCCAAAGAAAAAUCUACUGAUGGGCUUUAGAGGUUGCUGAAGGUUCACAGAAAAAGGGCCAAAAUGGGCAAGACAGCUUGGACUGCUUCCCCCAUUGUGGCAGCCAGAAAAAGCCACCUGAGAAAAGCCUUUCCUGGUGAUGGCUGCAGAGGAGACAUGGCCAAGGAGCCAAUGGUGCAGCAGGCUGGGACUCCAGCAGAGAGCCCUGUCCUGCUGCAGGACUAGACAAGGCAGGGCAAGCAUCCCCAUGCUUCCUUUCUGCCCUGCUGCAUCACCUGGUACCUGGCUCCUCCACACAGGGUAGAUUUAAGUGAAAACUUUCCAACUCCAUGAGCAUGUGUGGAAGAACAUAAUCAUCACAGAAGUGUUCAUAUUUUCAGGAAAAGGAGCAAAACUGGAACUGCCAAGGCAGGAAAUUAGUUUUUGCUUUAUUUUGUGGCAGAGGCAGAGGGACAGACUGACUAGAGAAGCUGGGGCUCCCUUCAUUGCAGAUCAGUACCGACUACCUGAUUUCAAGCAGAAAACCAAAAAAGUAGCAAAUCAACUUCAUAAGAUAUU